Pelobates cultripes (western spadefoot toad) is the source of this 350-nucleotide non-coding RNA. The record is from the annotation of a GenBank genome assembly. NCBI's taxonomy places the organism in Eukaryota, Metazoa, Chordata, Amphibia, Anura, Pelobatidae.
CUCCGACUCAGCAGCUGAAUGGAAGGGUCUGACAGACCUAACCUGCUUGCCUGCAUAUUUGGACCGAUGCGGAAUUAAUGAGUUGAGUAACCACUAUUGUGACAGACCCAUCCGUAUGAACUAGAAUUGCUGUGUUCGUCUGUUUUGCCGUUUGUAUGAAUUUCCCCAUUCAUAUGCCUUGUUUAAGGGAAUGUAUUUUUUUUGUCGAACGGAACUACCGAACGGACGGCCACCCAGAAGAGAAGUGUGCUGCUGGUUAACCUAUUGAUCCCAAUUAGAACGUUGCGGUUAACCACAAACACUUCUCAAUUAAAACCGAAUACAGGGUGGUCGUCGUUCGUAUGUCGACC